GGCAGCUGAAAGGGAGGACUGUGGCAGGAUGAGUCCUAGGAGGCAAGACUGAGCCCCAGGUAGCAGAAGUUACACAAGAUGGAAGUUAGGGCCUGUGGUCUAAGACAAUGAGAAGACCAAGGCUAGGAAUGAAGCACAUCCUAGAUGACUUGAUGAAAUUUAAGACUGUCACUGCAAAGGGGAACCCUUGAAAGCUCUGGCAAAUCUCCUGGCCCUCAUGGCUGCUGAAAUCUACCAGAAAGCACCCCAAUCCCACAUUACAAAUGGGAUAAUCAGUGUUACCUUCUUUGAAGGAAAUGGUACAGGCAGUCUUGAAGAAAUCUUUACGUAUCACAAGUGGACUAGAUUGUAGAUGGAGUAUAAUGAUACUUCAGAAGGGCUGGGCAUGGUCAGUACUUUGAAGAGAAAUCUCAGUGGAAAAACUCAGAUGCUGCAAGAAGUGAUGUUAUCAGCAUUCUGAAUCAGUGUUAAACUAGUGCCCCAUCGUGGCAUCAGGGGACGUGUCAUACAUAACUGAUGUACAAUUGAAGCCCAGGCUGCUUAUGGUCACUAAAGAUCCUAUGACAAUUUUCUCAAGGACAGGGGUGUCUAGCCCAGUGUCUGUGUGAAAUGAACUAAUUUCAGUCUGCCUAUCAUAAUCUUCUUGUAAUUUUAAUUGAUCCACUGUUGUCUUCACUUCCUGCACUAAACUGUAAUAUAAUAUUGUGCUUUAGUAAGCAUAUGCAUUCCACCACAGAGGUGGCUGCAUUUCACAGAUGGUGGAAGUGAAGUGGUCCCCAUAUCUAAAGCACAGGAAAAGGUUCUGUAUGCACUAGGUAACCCCAUAGUGUGUCUAUCACAAAGGCAGUUCCCUCAGAGUGCUUGUUAGUUCACAGCUGUAAUAAAGCAUAAAUAAACCAA
Mauremys reevesii (Reeves's turtle) is the source of this 900-nucleotide long non-coding RNA. RefSeq lists it as uncharacterized. The record is from RefSeq and is a predicted model, not a curated record. The transcript is spliced from 2 exons. NCBI's taxonomy places the organism in Eukaryota, Metazoa, Chordata, Testudines, Geoemydidae.